Podarcis lilfordi (Lilford's wall lizard) is the source of this 78-nucleotide non-coding RNA. The record is from the annotation of a GenBank genome assembly. NCBI's taxonomy places the organism in Eukaryota, Metazoa, Chordata, Lepidosauria, Squamata, Lacertidae.
GCCUCUGGCCCCCACCCACCAUGGUAGAGCAGGAGAUUCAUAAUCUCAAGGUUGUGGGUUCAAUCCCCACCUUAGGCA